UCUUCAACCAAGAGCCGCACCUCUCUCAUCUCCUUUCCUCUUCUAAACAACAAACAUGUCCACAGCCAUGGCAGACCCAUUUUCGUGCAAUACGUCGUCUUCUUUCCUCUCCUCUCCUCUCCCCCAUUUCUAGCUAAAAAACAGAACCUCUUUAGCUGUUGAACAGCCUUGUCCACACCAUUUCCGCACAAAAUCGUCCCCACAUCUGCUUUACUUGCUUAUUCUGUCGUUGACAGAAAAGGCCUUCCCAUUUUUCAUGUCAAAUACAACGGAUCCUCAAAGACCAGAGGAAUUCGAUCCACUUCGGGAAAAAAGUCUGAAGCAAACACGUGAAAGGGUCUCAACGUUCGGAUUAUCACGGGUUUUGACUCGAUUUUUUUGAAUUUUGAUUUUCAAAUUCCCGCUCGCUCGAAACCCUAAUCUUUUCCCAUAAAUACGUCUCUAAGUUCUCAGCCGAAAGGGGGAUUGAACGAUUAUUGGUGAUACACCAGUAUUUUCUCUCACAAAAGUCUUGAGUUUUCCUUUUUUUAAAAUCUGGUCUUGAACAUUUUAAAUCAGAAAAUACUUUUGUUGAAUUAUGAAAUUUGUGACGAAAGGUUAAGUCCUCGACGAUUCGAUUAACUUUCGUCGCUGCUCGGCAAAGAAUUUUAACUACGACAGAGGCACUUUAAAUUUUGACUCGAGUUCGAAUCUAUGAGUAGAUUCGAGACCUCCGCACCCAGUUCACUGCACCCGAAGAAGGAGAAAAAAUAUGGAAGGCCUAUGUGCCCAAGUGAGGUUAUUUUGUCAACUUGACUGAAAAAGAAUGGCAAUUAUGUGAAUGAAGAAGGGAAGAUUAUAGCUGUAAGUUCCAAACACUUGUCCAGUUUCAAAUUUCAAUUACAUUGUUGAUUUACUAGUGAUAAUUUUCUCAGUAAUGUGAGUGAAUGUUUUUUAGAUGUUGAGUAAUUUUCAAUUUUUUAAGUGUUGCUUUAGCUACACACACAUAGAUUCCUAAGAUUAAAGAGUAUGAUUAUAGGUUCUCUGUUCUGUAUAAUUAGACUAACCUCUAUUUAAUUUCUCCACAUUGAUUUGUAUGAUUGUUAUCAAAUUCAGCUACAGUAUUUUGGUCUUUCAAAGUUGGUGCGAAAAUUGUGAUUGAGACAUAGACAACUUUUUUUGGUGGAUGGAUGCGACCAUUUCCAAAUUGAUUAUUUGUUUUGCUUUCUCCUUGUUUGUAGUUGGAGUUCUAGUUUGUUUACAGUUGGAAAUGCUUUCAAAUAAUCGAGUAAUAAUAAUCGUAGUCAUUAGCACUCAAGGGUGUGGCCAUGUUGUCAGUGUGUAUAAAUUCUACGUAUCAUUUUCAGUUACGAGUCCAACUGAAAAUGAUUUGCUAUUAUGUUGUCAUUUCCCCUCGUCUUCUUCCAAAGUCUUUUGAGGUUAAAAGUUAAAACAAAUGCACAGUUUGUCCUAUUAAAUAAGACUAACCACCUGAUAAUGAUUCAGGAUUCUAAAAUGUAAGUCUUACAAACUAUGAACCUUUUUCACAGUUCCUCUUCCAAAUACUAGCUCCUCAAGGAAAUGGACCAGUUGCUUCAACACUGACAAUAGUUGAUAAGAAAACAGAAUUCUCAUUAUUUCCAGUUAUCAGGAAAAUUACUUGGUUAAAAUACCUAUACUCAUGGCAUGAAAAAUUAUAGAUGGUUUAGAUAUUGAAGUCCUCAAGUCUUAAAAUGAAUUCCUGGAGAAAUGAAUGUAACAUUGGUGCAGUCUUCCAACUAUACUCAGCGGGUUUUGCAUUCACUGAUUUAGAGAUAGAGAUUUACUCUUAGGGAAACUGCAGUUGAUAUUUUCUACAUCCACUUUUAUCAGUAGUUGUCUAUAAAUUAAGGAAUGCAACAUUGGUGCACUCUUCUAAUGUAUGCUCUAGUAAAAGUAAAUAUCAGAUGUUGAGACAAAGCUUAGAGGUUCUCAUAUCUGCUCGACAUGUUGCAGAAUUAGAUGUUCAAAAAUAACUAUUGAUCGUAGGGAAACUUUCAAGCUCAAUGGUGGGACCUCUCUUAGUCUCUUCAGUGUUGAAAUGCACCAGGCAUAUGCUGUUUUGGCUGCCUCACUUUCCUAAAUUCUUUAGGAAUUAAUGAUCAGAGGCAUACUAAAAAAAAUAUUUAGAGAACAAGUGAAGAAAUUUACACCCUGUGUGUAUCUCCAGGAAAUAGAACUAUUGUCCUGCAGAAACUAUAUUGAAUAGUUGUGCUAGCUUGGACGGCUGUGUUAUUAAAUCCAAAAUACCUAUGAAUUGUAUGCAUAUGCUUAGUUUUCCAGACAAAGGUGAGAUUAUGGUCACCCGGAUUGCACAAUGAGACUCCUUCUCGUGUCUCUGUAUCAUUUUAUACUUUUCAAUGUAAUUGUAAUUUAGUGAUAAUGUUUCUUUUCUCCUGGGAUGUUAGCAGCGUUGGUAUGAGAAUAUCUCAUUUCUUUUAUUUUACUUGUACAAUAAAAUAUUGGAGCAUCUAUCUCAAGAUCAAGAACAAGCUGCCACUUUAGGUGUUCCACUGAAAAUAUUGGCUCAUCCUAAUGAUGCCAUUGGAAAAGUAGAUAGAGUUGAACAUUCUGGUCGUGUGUGUGGUUUAGGGGGUAAUGUUUGCCCCUCGACUGCUUUUGGAAUGCCUAGACAUUCAAUUAGUCAUGCGAAUCUUGGUGGUUCUAGUAAUAUGUCUCAUCAACGUGUUGAAGACCCAGAGAAGCAUGUAAAAACCUUGGAAGAAAAGCUGACUGGAUAUGAAGAGACAAAGGAAACACUUGAGGAUACCAAGGAACAACUUGUGGAGACUAAGGAACCGCUUGCGCAAAAUGAGAAUCACUUGGCAACUCUUCAUAGGUUUUUACAAGCUAGAUUUGAUAGUGAGUUGCCCAGUUUCAACUUAGAUUCUUCUUAGCCUUUUGUCAAUAGUAUAUUUUUGUACCACUAAAUAUGUGGUGUACCUCUAACUUCAUGCAUUUGCAUUACACUAGCAAUUGUGGUAUCUUUUUUGUAUGUUCAAGGUUUGAAACUUACGUUUUGAUAUAUAUGAUAAGUAGAACAUUGAAACUUU
This is a long non-coding RNA of Lycium barbarum (goji berry), 3071 nucleotides long. RefSeq lists it as uncharacterized. The transcript is spliced from 2 exons. Lineage: Eukaryota; Viridiplantae; Streptophyta; Magnoliopsida; Solanales; Solanaceae. The record is from RefSeq and is a predicted model, not a curated record.